CACGCGAAGCUUGGUUUGACCUCCUUUAAAACUAUUUUCGUUGGCGGAGAAGAAAUAUACGAAGUCACUAUCCAAAUUUGCCUUAAAUGCACUUGGAGAUGUGUGAGUUGGAAGCUGAUCCUGAUGUUUGGUGGCUACAGCAGAGACCUGAGAGGAGGUGAUAACACCAUUGGAACUAGACAUGUGUCUCGUUCCUGAUGAGAUGAGCAGUGAAAGUGUGGUCAGUGUCCUCCACUCUGUAAAAAUUAUGGUACACUGCAAGAUCGUGACCACAGCAGUGCAUUCUGGGUACUUCUGGUCUAUUGUGGCUUGGAGUAGCUAUCAGCUCUGUGAGUGGAGGGUUCCUAACUGGAAGAGGCCUCAGAGGCAAAUACCUGG
Long non-coding RNA from Sinocyclocheilus anshuiensis, 378 nucleotides. RefSeq lists it as uncharacterized. The transcript has 3 exons. The record is from RefSeq and is a predicted model, not a curated record. NCBI's taxonomy places the organism in Eukaryota, Metazoa, Chordata, Actinopteri, Cypriniformes, Cyprinidae.